UAUAUGUAUAAUUGAAAUAAAUGUAUAUGAUCACUCAACAAAAAUACACCGAGUAACAUGGAACGGUGUAAAAGAAGUAGAUUACACCGGGUUAUGAUUACACGGAUGGAAAAUUUACACCGAGAGAAGUUUUACACCGAUAUUUUACACUACACGACCGUGUAAAGUCCUCCGGGUCUAAUUUUUACACCGUAAUAUUUUACAGUGUAUGGUCACUGGUCUGACAAUUAGUCAGGUGUAAUCACAUUCGAUUACAUAUAUAUACCUUUUUUUUAAUUUAAUACUUUGAAUCAAAAAAAUUUUUAUUUAUUAAUAAAAUUAAAUAAAGUAAUGAUAUAUAGAACUCUAUUAUUGCUCUGAUUGAAAGGAAUAAAUUUAUUAAAUUUAUUUUUUCCCGCUACUAUAUUCAAGCACCUUCGCGUGCACCCAAAAAAUUAUACAGACCUGAUGUUUACAUCUGUCAAAAUAAAAAGUUACUAAAUGGCGAAUAUUGUGUUGAAAUUUAUUAAAGAAACUACGCUCGACUGGGUAUUUAUAAUUACUUUUUGCAGCUCUAGUACUUUUUUUAGAGCGGCUGGCGGCCACCAGGCGGCGCCACAUUUUUUGGAAAAAAGUGGGGGGCACCCUCGAAGCAUGGCCUUAAAUAAUUUUAAUUUAAUUUUAAAGUUUUGCAGCUCUAGUACUUUUUUUAGAGCGGCUGGCGGCCACCAGGCGGCGCCACAUUUUUUGGAAAAAAGUGGGGGGCACCCUCGAAGCAUGGCCUUAAUCAAAGGGAAAAUUAUACAUUUUUAUGGUUUAUUCAAUUGUUAAUUCUACACAUUUUAUGGGAUUUUUUUUUUUUAAAUUAAGUUAAAAGCCAUCGUGUUCGCGGUUAAUAACAAAUCGUUAACUCUUAGGAAGGAGUAGUUGCGUGUUGGGAUUUACCGGAGAGUAUCGAUUUCGGUGCAUUGACCCACCGGAUUGAAAUAAGAGAAUGAAAUACAAUAUACGAUGCAGAAACGAUUUAAAAUUAUUUAUUUAAGUUUUACUUUUAUUUAUAAUUAUUAUUAAUAUGUCAUAUUAUUUAAAUUUUUAAAUAAUCCCUUUGUCGGUCGCAGGCCUGCGUUAACCAAAUGCAUAUUAGCGUAACUUAAUCAGUAAAUAAUUGUAUAUUAAUUAAAUAAUUAGUUAAUUAAUUAAUUAAUCGAUUAAUCAAAUAAUAAAUUAUAUUAUUUAUUAAUUAAUUAAUUGGUUACAUUGAAUUUCUAUUCCAGACUAUUUAUUCUAAGGGAUGAUUCAAAAAAAAAAUGGUGGAUUUGACACUCGAAUUUGUGAUAGAUUAGUAUUGCGAUACUUUUGUUGUUGAGUUUAAAAAUUAAUUGUUAAUCAUUUUUUUUCUUCAUUAAGAUUUAAUUGAUUUAUUGGUACGGAAAUUUUCUUAUUUUUAAUGACAAAUAUUUUUUUUAACAUUAAUAAGUUUGUUGUAUUUUUAAAAAUUGUUUAAAAUUAAGUUUAAAGUUACUGAGUUUUCUUUGUUACUUCACAAUUCAAAUGUUGUCUUGGACUUUAACUCCCGGUUUAAAGGUCAAUUUUUUUUUCUAAAUGUAUAGAAAAUUUUGUUGUGUAAAAAAAUUUAUGUACUUUUUUGUUCCUGUAUCUUGCAUAAUUUUCACGGUAUUUUAAUUCAAUGAACGCGUCACAGAGAUAAAUUCUUUAAAGAAAUUUUACUCGCGAACUUUUUUCUCGUAUAUUUUAUCUUGGAUAAUUUUUUUUUCAUCGCUUAAAGUUUAACUUUUGUUUUACGCACGACCAACUAUUUGCUUGUUUAAAAAGUAUUCUUUUAAAUUAUUUUAUUAAACUUAAAUAUUUUAAAAAGUAUGUAAGAUAAACAUAAUUAAUUUAUUAAAUAAAUAUUAAUCAUUAAUUUCGUUUAUUUAAAUGUAAAUAAAAUUAAUAGUUUUGUUAAUUAUUUACUUUAUUAAAAAUGGGAUCAAAUUUAAUAAUUUAUACAGAAUAAUUAAAUUUUAAAUAUUCUUUCUACUGAAAGAAAGUGAUUUAAUCAAAUCCAUAUAGAUUUUAUAUUUCUCUUUAUCAUUGAUCAUUGAUAUAGUUUUUUUUUUCAAAUUAAUCCAGGGAAUUAAUAACAAUAAUAAUUAAUAAAAAUUAAAAUAGUAGUAAUUUAUGCCCUGAUGUAUAGAUUUAUUAUCUAUGCAGGUGCUAAUUGACUUGUACAUUUUUUUUUUAUUCAAAUUUUUGUUUUCUUUUUUUAGUCUACUGUAAAAAAUUUUCGGAGUGAAUGCGAAGCGGAUGACUGCGUAUUUAAUUCCAGAGUGAAAUUUACUCCGAAAGGGAGUAGUUUAUUUUCAUAUUAAAACUGCGGUUCGCAGUGAAAUUAAAUUCUAAGGAGUUUAUUUUAAUAUUAAAACACUAAAGGGGAGUGAAUUCGGAUUUAAAAAAAAUUUAGAUCACUUUGAAAUCACCCCGCUGUAGAAAUAAACUCAGUAUUUACUCCGUAUUCGGAGUGAUUUUUUUUAAAACUCCAUAACUCCAAGUAAUGGAGUAAAUUUGAAUUUAUAUAAAAUCCAGAUCACUCCGAAAUCACUCCGUUAGAGAAAAAAACUCCGUAUUUACUCCGUAUUCGGAGUGAUUUGCUUAAAAACUCCAUAACUCCAAGUAAUGGAGUAAAUUUGGAGUAAGUUUGAAUUUAAAUCAAAACCAGAUCACUCCGUUAGAGAAAAAAACUCCGUAUUUACUCCGUACUCGGAGUGAUUUUCUUAAAAACUCCAAGUAAUGGAGUGAAUUUGGAGUAAAUUUGAAUUUAAAUAAAAUCCAGAUCUCCGAAAUCACUCCGUUAGAGAAAAAAACUCCGUAUUUACUCCGCCCUGAUUAAAAAUACUCAGAAAAGUAUUGAAAAAGAUGAGAAUUGAAUACUUUCAAAUAAAUCCUAUUCCACAAGGUUUCCAUCUAGACAUAAAAUAAAUACUUUUCAAUUAUAUUGAAUCUAAAAAUAAUAUAAGAAUUUCUAAACUUCUAAAGAAUUGAAAAAGAUUCGAAUAAAUUGACAGUUUUCAAUCUUUCUAAAUCUUCUUCAAUACCAAAAUAGUUUCAUAUUUUGAAUCGAGUGUAAGAUUGAAAAGAAUUGAUAAUUUUCAAUUUUUCUGAAUUUUUUUCAAUACUAAAAUAGUUCCAUAUUUCGAGUUAUGAUUUGAAUUGAAAUAAAUUAAAACGAAUUCACAUUUUCGAAUCUUUCUUAAUGUUUUUCUAAAAUGAUGAAAGAUUGAAUUCUUUUUAAUUCCAUUAUAAGAAUUAGAAAGUGUUCAAAUUAUCGAAAUUUCAAUUCCAUUUAAUAUUUUUCAAAAUCUCCGUAUGGAUUGAAAAGAAUGAAAAUAAUUUUCACUACUUUUCAAUGAGUAUUUUUAAUCAGGGCGUAUUUGACGUGAUUUUUUU
Microplitis mediator is the source of this 3426-nucleotide long non-coding RNA. RefSeq lists it as uncharacterized. NCBI's taxonomy places the organism in Eukaryota, Metazoa, Arthropoda, Insecta, Hymenoptera, Braconidae. The record is from RefSeq and is a predicted model, not a curated record. The transcript has 2 exons.